Molecule: long non-coding RNA, 2747 nt
Organism: Hermetia illucens (black soldier fly)
Lineage: Eukaryota; Metazoa; Arthropoda; Insecta; Diptera; Stratiomyidae
Exons: 5
Source: RefSeq, a predicted model, not a curated record
AUAAUUUUCCAAAGACCCAAUCAAUUUUGCGCAGUAUUUUAGAGUCAAGGUGCUGCUUCUUAACGCCAUGCAAGAUAUGUAAUUGUCGAAAAAAUUACAGAUAACCCCGCGUAAGCCGCUUAUCAACGACGUAAACUGAUUUUAUGAACUCCACUCCAUAUCUCCAUAUGGGCAUAUAUCGUUCUAUUUAUCUCACACCCAGGUGAAAAAUUCUUCUUGUUAUUAUACCGGCCAUAGUAGAAAACAGCGUACAAGGGGCCAACCCAGCGCUGCGAUUAUUAUCGAUUAUCGGGAGAACAUGUGUACUCAGUUUCUGACUUAGCCAGGCCAUAUCGAAGUUUCGAGCCCCGAUUUCGACAAGUUGUUAACAAGUUGCCCCAGUUGGCGUUUAGGCGAUCUCGCUGUAAUUCAUCAUGAUCUGGCUUACGUGAUUUUUCUGAGGUGCAAUGGUUAAAUUACGGUCCAAGGACGAGGGGGUGAUGCAACCCCAACAACAAAGUAGAAUCUGAAAGUGCGGUUCGGUGGUAAACCCCAGAAAUCUGUUUUUAUCCCUGAAUUUGUGCUUGCAUGGAAGAUCGAAAGAAUGUGCCGAAGUGUCCCUUUCUAGCUUAUCUAGUGGCUCAAAUGGAAUUUCCGGAAAGUGAGUGAUGUCUAUUGAUUUCGUUUGAUAAGUUUUGAAUAAAAAUGUGGAGUGGCUUAUCGAUGAAGGCUGUUCAGUAUUUCAUAAAUUAUAUUUCAUCGAGAUAUGGUCUAAAAAUAUAUUGGAUAGUGCUGUGAGACAAGCAAACAUAAGAGGAGCUUUCUGGAUAAAUUCAGUUUUUGGGAAGACACCCAGGACGAAUUGGGAAAUAGUCACCAUUGCUGGACUAACACCGAAAGUAUUCAGAGAUACUUCUUUCCGCCGAAUCCUGGAAACGGUUCCCAGGAGCUCUUAUUCAUAACAGUCUCUAUGUCAACGAUUUCUUCCACGCUCCCAUCAACUGGUAAUGUCAAAAACUAAUUAGUUUUCCUGGAAUUCCAGUAAAGAGCUCCGAAGAACUUUGACCGCUGAAGGACUUAUUGAUUCAUCGUUAAAUUUAGAAGAACGAUGUCAUGGCAUAUUCGACAAGUUGUCUAUGAUAUGACAGAAGAGAGUUCCGAAAAAAGUCUUCGAAUCCCGGGAAUCUAACUUCGCUCUUAACACCACGGUUCAUCAAAACAUCAACUGGAGGUGCAUCCGUAUGGCAAACGACAUUACCAACGGUUGCUUGACUCCAGUCCAGCUGUUCUUCUAUCCGGUUAAUUCUGCAUUUCAGUCCAAGCAGAUGCUCGUCAAGUAAAAUGUCUUUUCGAGGGUUGAAGGGCAUUAUGUGUCUCGGGGGGUUUUGCACUGUAAUCGUCAAGAAAGGUACGGCUAAUGCACCUAAUUCGCAUCCAUACCACCAGCUCCUACUCUCACCGCUAGAAACCUCUGGAUAAUGCAAAGUGCCAGAGGAGAACUCUGCAUCGUAAAACGGAGAUGACCCGACUGAUCCUUCAGUUUGGUGACUGUGCAAUAGGCUGACUAUCUGCUGACAGUAUAAUAUUGUCUUCGAGCUUGAAAUUAGUCUCGAAUUGGGUCGCAAAUACAACGGUGACCAUGACAAUAGAAAAAGGAUUACGAAUUUGGAACUUGAAUUGCACGCCCACAUUUAAUCCUGCAUUAGAUGACGUACAGUAAAGUGGACCAGAUUGAAGAACAAAGACCGAAGGAAGACAAAAGCAAUAAAAACACUAUCCACGGAGGGGACUUCAAGAAUAACAAGGAGUCACAGUCAAAUACAUUGGGGAACUUCUGGGAACUUCGAGUUUCCUUCUUACAAGUCAUGAGCUCAACAUCAUAUCUUCCGACGAUUUUCAGAAUUGAGUGUUGUGGUAUCCACAAACGAUGUCUUUUCUUGAUCGUCUCAAGGGAAUGGUUUCAACGUCAAUAUUGAGAUGGUGCAUGUUGUCCAAGGAUACAAAAUGGGGGAAAACUUCUACAUGCAUUCUACUAUAAAAACUAUCAAACUAUCAAAUUCGCUUAGAUACAUAGUUUUAUGGUACUUUUCCAUUUAUUUAUCAUAUCUACAGGAGUUUUAUGCAAUUUUCAGGACAAGAAGAUGAGUAUUUUCAUUCUUUUAUUAUGUUUGCUUAUACAAUAUUCAUUGAGUAUUGUUUUUGUAAUUUUUUAUUGAGUAUUUUUAAUUUUCAACUGGGUUUUUUUCUCUUUUUUAUGUUUUAUUUUAACAAAAAUAGUGUAGAUAUUUUUAUUUCUUUAUAUUUAAACUCUAAGUAGCCUUCAUGAUUUUUUUAUAGAAAAAUAUUAUUUAUAGUUUUCUUUUUCUAUUAUUAGUAACAAUAUUAUUGACUUUUUGUCUUAGUAUCCUUUUGUGUAAGUAUACAUAUUUAUUUUAUUUUAUUUUAUUUUAAAUAUCCGCUUUUGAAAUCUAAAUAUUUAAAUAGUUUUGCCGUAAUUUACUACGAAAAAUUCUUAAAAAUAAUUUCGUAAAAUUAAAAGUUUUAUAUGUACAGAUCACAUUGAAUUUUGUAUGCACAAUGAGUAUAUAUAAUAUUUAUUAUAUAUAAAUAGUUGCAUUUUAUAUUACAGUGUUGUGCAUUCGGGUUUUUGUUUUCAUUUUUCGUAAUAUAAAAUGGUAAAAAUAGUUGUAUAUAUAUAAUAACAUUCAGUACAAGUAUGGCAAUAAAUAAAUUAUUAAUACUUCUAUAAAUGUACAUUAUAUAUAUAU